RNAcentral lists this ribosomal RNA (470 nucleotides) under uncultured bacterium. RNAcentral describes it as "bacterial SSU rRNA". It matches the Rfam family "Bacterial small subunit ribosomal RNA", at positions 322 to 807 of the family's 1533-position model. The record is from RNAcentral.
AGAUACGGCCCAGACUCCUACGGGAGGCAGCAGUGGGGAAUAUGCACAAUGGGCGGAAGCCUGAUGCAGCAACGCCGCGUGCGGGAUGACGGCCUUCGGGUUGUAAACCGCUUCGCCUGUGACGAAGCGUGAGUGACGGUAAUGGGUAAAGAAGCACCGGCUAACUACGUGCCAGCAGCCGCGGUGAUACGUAGGGUGCGAGCGUUGUCCGGAUUUAUUGGGCGUAAAGGGCUCGUAGGUGGUUGAUCGCGUCGGAAGUGUAAUCUUGGGGCUUAACCUGAGCGUGCUUUCGAUACGGGUUGACUUGAGGAAGGUAGGGGAGAAUGGAAUUCCUGGUGGAGCGGUGGAAUGCGCAGAUAUCAGGAGGAACACCAGUGGCGAAGGCGGUUCUCUGGGCCUUUCCUGACGCUGAGGAGCGAAAGCGUGGGGAGCGAACAGGCUUAGAUACCCUGGUAGUCCACGCUGUAAAC